Molecule: ribosomal RNA, 1496 nt
Filed under: uncultured prokaryote
Description: partial 16S ribosomal RNA
Rfam family: Bacterial small subunit ribosomal RNA
Source: RNAcentral
UCAGAUUGAACGCUGGCGGUAUGCUUAACACAUGCAAGUCGAACGGUAACAGCAAAAGCUUGCUCUUGGCUGACGAGUGGCGGACGGGUGAGUAACGCGUAGGAAUCUACCAUAUAGUAGGGGCCAGAGAAAUUUGGAUUAAUACCGCAUACACUCUACGGAGAAAAGCAGGGGAUCUUAGGACCUUGCGCUAUUAGAUAAGCCUGCGUGGGAUUAGCUAGUUGGUGAGGUAAAGGCUCACCAAGUCGACGAUCUCUAGCUGGUCUGAGAGGAUGAUCAGCCACACUGGGACUGAGACACGGUCCAGACUCCUACGGGAGGCAGCAGUGGGGAAUAUUGGACAAUGGGCGCAAGCCUGAUCCAGCAAUACCGCGUGUGUGAAGAAGGCUCUAGGGUCGUAAAGCACUUUCAGUAGGGAGGAAAGGUGUACAGUUAAUACCUGUAUGCCGUGACGUUACCUACAGAAGAAGCACCGGCUAACUCCGUGCCAGCAGCCGCGGUAAUACGGAGGGUGCAAGCGUUAAUCGGAAUUACUGGGCGCGUAAAGCGCGUAGGCGGUUAGUUAAGCUAGAUGUGAAAGCCCCGGGCUCAACCUGGGAAUUGCAUUUAGAACUGGCUCACUAGAGUCUUGGAGAGGGGAGUGGAAUUUCUGGUGUAGCGGUGAAAUGCGUAGAUAUCAGAAGGAACAUCAGUGGCGAAGGCGACUCCCUGGCCAAAGACUGACGCUCAUGUGCGAAAGUGUGGGUAGCGAACAGGAUUAGAUACCCUGGUAGUCCACACCGUAAACGAUGUCUACUAGCUGUUUGUGGAUUUAAUCCGUGAGUAGCGCAGCUAACGCGAUAAGUAGACCGCCUGGGGAGUACGGCCGCAAGGUUAAAACUCAAAUGAAUUGACGGGGGCCCGCACAAGCGGUGGAGCAUGUGGUUUAAUUCGAUGCAACGCGAAGAACCUUACCUACCCUUGACAUACAGAGAACUUUCCAGAGAUGGAUUGGUGCCUUCGGGAACUCUGAUACAGGUGCUGCAUGGCUGUCGACAGCUCGUGUCGUGAGAUGUUGGGUUAAGUCCCGUAACGAGCGCAACCCUUAUCCUUAGUUGCUACCAUUUAGUUGGGCACUCUAAGGAGACUGCCGGUGAUAAACCGGAGGAAGGUGGGGACGACGUCAAGUCAUCAUGGCCCUUACGGGAUGGGCUACACACGUGCUACAAUGGCAGGUACAGAGGGCAGCAAAACCGCGAGGUUGAGCGAAUCCCACAAAGCUUGUCGUAGUCCGGAUCGGAGUCUGCAACUCGACUCCGUGAAGUCGGAAUCGCUAGUAAUCGUAGAUCAGAAUGCUACGGUGAAUACGUUCCCGGGCCUUGUACACACCGCCCGUCACACCAUGGGAGUGGGAUGCAAAAGAAGUGGCUAGUCUAACCUUCGGGAGGACGGUCACCACUUUGUGUUUCAUGACUGGGGUGAAGUCGUAACAAGGUAACCCUAGGGGAACCUGGGGU